UUAAAUAACAAAAACGAAUCGUAUUAACAUCAAUAAGUAGUCUUAGCAUUACUUUCAGCAGUAUCCUCCAGGUGAGUCUCUGGAAAGAUGUCUUCAACAUCACUAUAAUUUUCAUCUUCUUCUGUUUCUAAUACAUACAUAAAAAGACUGUCACAAAUCUCUAAAAUUACAUUACACAUGUACAUGUACUGUCAUGUCAAUUUAUACAACUAAUUACCUGCAAUUGCUCUCAGCUCUGUCAACUUCCCCUUCUCCAGAGCCAAGAGGAGCUUCAAAAAUUUUGGAGCCUUGAAUUGUGGCAUCAGGUAGCCUGUAAUAUUCUCUAUGCAGUGCAAUGUCAUGACCCAGGAAGUCUGCCAGCUGGUCGAUUUCAUGAUUUUUUAGAUUUAAAAUCUGUGGUGUAGUGGCCACUUGUUUUCGUAGUUGUGUUGAUGCAGAUAUUCUGGCUGUUUCGCUCCACAUUCUUCUGUAAACGUUUUAAGUCAUGUCCUCUGAAAUAACUUAGGCAUUUUGGAAUUGCAAACAGAUACUGAUUGUCCUGUGGCACAUUGCACUGCCUGCGAUUACGGAUGAGGAGGUCGAUGUUCCUCAUCGUCUCUGGGGUGAGAAGGACCUUUUUUACCUCUUACUUCAACUCUUGUGAAGUGCUUGCAGAGUUUUUUCACACAUAAAAAAGCCCCCAGCUCUGUGCAUAUGUGUCAUCUCUUUCAAUAAUUUUUUAAGGCAUCUUUGACACAUCCCCAAAACGUCUUCUGUUGAAAAGGAUGACCUCAGUUAAUGUGGACUUGGUAAGUGUGGAACAACUCAGCUCGGUGCCUCGUUGCUUUGUGCCAUUUAAGCAGAUUGUGAAAUGUGCUGGAGAUGGGUGUUUGGUAUUUUAUUGCCUGUGCAUGCUCUCCUUCUACAUAUGAUACGGCUGUGGUUAUAGAGGGCGUGAUGUAAACAUAGGAAAACUAUUUGUCCUCCUGCUGGACUCGGGGAUGGAGCUGAAGGAUGAAAAGUAAGCAGUUUUUUUAAUGGUAUGGUAAUUUAAGCUGAUUUAAUAUUGUGUUGUGAGAAUUGUAUUUGCUUUUUUAUGUAAUCGUUUUUUUUUCAAUAUUAUUUGUAUUUUGAUAUUUAAUAAAGUUAUAUUGAUUUGAA
Long non-coding RNA from Astyanax mexicanus (Mexican tetra), 1140 nucleotides. RefSeq lists it as uncharacterized. The transcript is spliced from 3 exons. The record is from RefSeq and is a predicted model, not a curated record. Lineage: Eukaryota; Metazoa; Chordata; Actinopteri; Characiformes; Acestrorhamphidae.